RNAcentral lists this ribosomal RNA (562 nucleotides) under uncultured bacterium. Its description in RNAcentral is "partial 16S ribosomal RNA". It matches the Rfam family "Bacterial small subunit ribosomal RNA", at positions 355 to 1375 of the family's 1533-position model. The record is from RNAcentral.
UGGGGAAUAUUGCACAAUGGGCGAAAGCCUGAUGCAGCAACGCCGCGUGAGUGAUGAAGGCCUUCGGGUUGUAAAGCUCUGUCUUUUGGGACGAUAAUGACGGUACCAAAGGAGGAAGCCACGGCUAACUACGUGCCAGCAGCCGCGGUAAUACGUAGGUGGCAAGCGUUGUCCGGAUUUACUGGGCGUAAAGGAUGCGUAGGCGGAUUUUUAAGUGAGAUGUGAAAUACCCGGGCUUAACUUGGGUGCUGCAUUUCAAACUGGGAAUCUAGAGUGCGGGAGAGGAGAAUGGAAUUCCUAGUGUAGCGGUGAAAUGCGUAGAGAUUAGGAAGAACACCAGUGGCGAAGGCGAUUCUCUGGACCGUAACUGACGCUGAGGCAUGAAAGCGUGGGUAGCAAACAGGAUAGAUACCCUGGUAGUCCACGCCGUAAACGAUGAGUACUAGGUGUAGGAGGUAUCGACCCCUUCUGUGCCGCAGUUAACACAAUAAGUACUCCGCCUGGGAAGUACGAUCGCAAGAUUAAAAACUUAAAGGAAUUGACGGGGUCAUAGCUGUUUCCU